GGGUUUAUAGCUCAAUCGGUCGAGCAACAAGCUUUUAACUUGAAGGUUGCGGGUUCGAGUCCCACUAGACCC
Molecule: transfer RNA, 72 nt
Filed under: Bracteacoccus minor
Lineage: Eukaryota; Viridiplantae; Chlorophyta; Chlorophyceae; Sphaeropleales; Bracteacoccaceae
Description: tRNA-Lys
Rfam family: tRNA
About the family: Transfer RNA (tRNA) molecules are approximately 80 nucleotides in length.
Source: RNAcentral